This 261-nucleotide long non-coding RNA is filed under the name Selaginella moellendorffii. Its description in RNAcentral is "long non-coding RNA (SMOE_LNC001644)". Lineage: Eukaryota; Viridiplantae; Streptophyta; Lycopodiopsida; Selaginellales; Selaginellaceae. The record is from RNAcentral.
UUGACUUGUGCCGCUAGAAAUCUUUAAUUCGCUCGAGAGAUGGGGGAGCGGCAGAUCAUCGAAAUCCAUGCGUUUGCGUUGGGUUCCCAGUGUUCUCACCCCCUGGCCAGCCAUUGGCACCACUGUACGGAAGAGCGCACUUUUUCAUUGUCCGCCACCUUUGCGCCCGUGAUUGCUGUCUCUUUAGUUUUUUGGCACCGCCUUGCCUGGCAUGCUGGAGUUGCGUAUGAUUUUUCCCAUGAAUUGCUUACCUCGGGGGGG